CACCUCUCCCGAAUCUGAACAUCCCCAGUCCCCACCUCCACCAGCCCGCCGGUGCUCCUCCUUCGGUCAUUCGCUCUUGGAUCCUCGCCGUCGUGCACACAUCAUCCCAUCCCGUCGCCUCCCCGCCGUGCCUAGCUACUCCUCCACCGGCCGCGCCCCCCCCCCCCCCCCCCCCCCCCCCCCCCGCAUUACCACCGCUAGGCCGCAGUGUCUCCCCCAGCCGGAUCCCGCCGAGAUCCGCGAGGCCACGGCAAUGGCGGAUCACGGCGAGGCCACGGGCUUCCUCCCUGCCCACACACCGGCCACGGGUGCUCCCACCUACCCCAUCUCCUUGCUCAGAUCCAUCCUCCAGCUCCUUCAAGCACCACCAACCCCUUCCCUCACCUCUUGCCUCCCCUGCCCUUUUCUCUCCCCAUCAGCCAUAUCCAGUCCCUGAAGGCUGACCUUGUGCACGCGGCGUCAGUGCCAUUGAUGUAACCACGAUUCCAUUGUCCCUAUCGGUGGAGAAGGUCGGCUGGACAGGAGCAUGGGUCGACGCGAGACGAUGGUGGACAUGGCGUUUCCCUUCGAUGACACCAGCGAACACGGCCAGAUCUGUGGCCAGAAAAGCCAUGGCGAUGAACUCCUCUUGACGUCCCGCGAGCGCUGGGCGACGCUUGAUGUGGUGACUGCAGAUUGUAUAGCUUCGGGGAGAGUAGUAGGCCAGAUCUAGAAAAACAUCUGUAAUUUCAAGUUUUUUGUUGUGUAUUUCUUCCUUUUGAUUGAAAAAAAUGUUAUUUAUUUGGUA
Molecule: non-coding RNA, 787 nt
Organism: Triticum urartu
Lineage: Eukaryota; Viridiplantae; Streptophyta; Magnoliopsida; Poales; Poaceae
Source: RefSeq, a predicted model, not a curated record